GCGCAUUUGUAUAAUUAUUACUGAAGAGACAAAAGUUUAACGUCCAAAUGACCCAAAAACAAAGUAUCUGUCUAAAGCCAACAAUUUUUUAAAAUUUAAUUGGCCAUUAUAUUUUUGCAUUAACACAAUAUUCAUUAUGAAUAACAUUUAUUUUGAAUAAUAUGAAAUAUUUAAAAAGCAAUUGUGUUAAGAAUUUUUAUACUCA
RNAcentral lists this long non-coding RNA (205 nucleotides) under Sorghum bicolor (sorghum). RNAcentral's name for it is "long non-coding RNA (SBIC_LNC005091)". Lineage: Eukaryota; Viridiplantae; Streptophyta; Magnoliopsida; Poales; Poaceae. The record is from RNAcentral.